Molecule: long non-coding RNA, 275 nt
Filed under: Gossypium barbadense (sea-island cotton)
Lineage: Eukaryota; Viridiplantae; Streptophyta; Magnoliopsida; Malvales; Malvaceae
Description: long non-coding RNA (GBAR_LNC008897)
Source: RNAcentral
CGGAGAACCAAAAACCAAACUCAUAGAGAAAAUACAGAAUACCCCGAUAAUUCUUCAAAGAAAGAAAGUCCAGAAGAAAACAUCAUUUAAUCCCACUGAAAUCAAAUAUAACAAGAUCAAUAUAUCUUCCCAUACAUAUAUAUCAGAUGAAGCAUCAAGUAGAAGAAACAGAAUCAUAAUAUCAUAUGUAUUCUCUCAUCAAUUCUUAUCAGAAGAAAUGAAAUAGAAUACCCAAUGAAAUAGAGCAAUAUAAAUUAUAAACCAGUCAGACUACC